RNAcentral lists this ribosomal RNA (253 nucleotides) under uncultured bacterium. RNAcentral describes it as "partial 16S ribosomal RNA". It matches the Rfam family "Bacterial small subunit ribosomal RNA", at positions 524 to 776 of the family's 1533-position model. The record is from RNAcentral.
UACGGGGGGGGUAAGCGUUGUUCGGAAUUACUGGGCGUAAAGGGCUCGUAGGCGGCCAACUAAGUCAGACGUGAAAUCCCUCAGCUUAACUGGGGAACUGCGUCUGAUACUGGAUGGCUUGGAUUCGGGAGAGGAAUGCGGAAUUCCAGGUGUAGCGGUGAAAUGCAUAGAUACAAUCAAGAACACCGAUUGCGUAGGCAGCUUACUAGGCUGUAACUGACGCUGAGGCACGAAAGCGUGGGGAGCGAACAGG